GACGAACGCUGGCGGCGUGCUUAACACAUGCAAGUGGAGCGACGAACCGGGGCUUGCCCCGGGGCAGAGCCGCGAACGGGUGAGUAACACGUGGGUAACCCACCCCGAUGACCGGGACAACCCGAGGAAACUCGGGCUAAUACCGGAUGUGCUCCUUGACCUCGAGGUCAAGGCGUAAAGAUAGCUUCGGCCUUCGCAUCGGGACGGGCCCGCGGCCCAUUAGCUUGUUGGUGGGGUAAAGGCCUACCAAGGCGACGANGGGUAGCUGGUCUGAGAGGACGAUCAGCCACACUGGGACUGAGACACGGCCCAGACUCCUACGGGAGGCAGCAGUGGGGAAUCUUGCGCAAUGCGCGAAAGCGUGACGCAGCAACGCCGCGUGGGGGAAA
Molecule: ribosomal RNA, 389 nt
Filed under: uncultured bacterium
Lineage: Bacteria
Description: bacterial SSU rRNA
Rfam family: Bacterial small subunit ribosomal RNA
Source: RNAcentral